CAGACCUCUAAUCGGAAAAGACUACCCGCUGAGUUUAAGCAUAUCACUAAGCGGAGGAGAAGAAACUAACCAGGAUUUCCAUAG
RNAcentral lists this ribosomal RNA (84 nucleotides) under Scorpidium cossonii. Its description in RNAcentral is "partial 25S ribosomal RNA". It matches the Rfam family "Eukaryotic large subunit ribosomal RNA", at positions 1 to 83 of the family's 3401-position model. The record is from RNAcentral. Lineage: Eukaryota; Viridiplantae; Streptophyta; Bryopsida; Hypnales; Amblystegiaceae.